Molecule: ribosomal RNA, 558 nt
Filed under: Cladosporium sp. 2 DoF26
Lineage: Eukaryota; Fungi; Ascomycota; Dothideomycetes; Cladosporiales; Cladosporiaceae
Description: eukaryotic LSU rRNA
Rfam family: 5.8S ribosomal RNA (bases 162-315)
Source: RNAcentral
GGGGAAUUAGGUGACCCGGUCUAACACCGGGAUGUUCAUAACCCUUUGUUGUCCGACUCUGUUGCCUCCGGGGCGACCCUGCCUUCGGGCGGGGGCUCCGGGUGGACACUUCAAACUCUUGCGUAACUUUGCAGUCUGAGUAAACUUAAUUAAUAAAUUAAAACUUUUAACAACGGAUCUCUUGGUUCUGGCAUCGAUGAAGAACGCAGCGAAAUGCGAUAAGUAAUGUGAAUUGCAGAAUUCAGUGAAUCAUCGAAUCUUUGAACGCACAUUGCGCCCCCUGGUAUUCCGGGGGGCAUGCCUGUUCGAGCGUCAUUUCACCACUCAAGCCUCGCUUGGUAUUGGGCAUCGCGGUCCGCCGCGUGCCUCAAAUCGACCGGCUGGGUCUUCUGUCCCCUAAGCGUUGUGGAAACUAUUCGCUAAAGGGUGUUCGGGAGGCUACGCCGUAAAACAACCCCAUUUCUAAGGUUGACCUCGGAUCAGGUAGGGAUACCCGCUGAACUUAAGCAUAUCAAUAAGCGGAGGAAGACCUCGGAUCAGGUAGGGAUCCCCGCUCCC